This 1329-nucleotide long non-coding RNA is filed under the name Panax ginseng (ginseng). RNAcentral's name for it is "long non-coding RNA (PGIN_LNC009522)". Lineage: Eukaryota; Viridiplantae; Streptophyta; Magnoliopsida; Apiales; Araliaceae. The record is from RNAcentral.
UCCCAUCGCCGGUCCCAUCCUCCAUAGUCUCAUCAGCAUCAGCUCGGAGAUCAUCACCAUCUCCUCCACGAGCAUCACCUGUGCCGCCAUCUCCACCUCCACGAGUCUCAUCAACAAGACCCUACAAAAUUAAAAUAUUAAUAACGGAGUCCCCAAAAUAGAUCAUAUUUAUAUUAUUUUAGUUUGUGUUCUACAAGUGUUGUUCAGUUUCGCAAACAGGGCGAUAACUCGGUCUCCGUAUGUCGGAAUCGAGUACCGUCAGUUGUAACGCGUGUCUAAUACCUACGCGGUGCUGUGUGUGUGUUUGCGUGGCGUUCGGACGGACGAUGCGGGUUUCGGGCUCUUUUUCGGCUUUUUGGCUAAGUGUUGUUCAGUUUCGCAAACAGGACGAUAACUCGGUCUCCGUAUGUCGGAAUCGAGUACCGUCAGUUGUAACGCGUGCCUAAUACCUACGCGGUGCUGUGUGUGUGUUUGCGUGGCGUUCGGACGGACGAUGCGGGUUUCGGGCUCUUUUUCGGCUUUUUGGCUAAGUGUUGUUCAGUUUCGCAAACAGGACGAUAACUCGGUCUCCGUAUGUCGGAAUCGAGUACCGUCAGUUGUAACGCGUGCCUAAUACCUACGCGGUGCUGUGUGUGUGUUUGCGUGGCGUUCGGACGGACGAUGCGGGUUUCGGGCUCUUUUUCGGCUUUUUGGCUAAGUGUUGUUCAGUUUCGCAAACAGGACGAUAACUCGGUCUCCGUAUGUCGGAAUCGAGUACCGUCAGUUGUAACGCGUGCCUAAUACCUACGCGGUGCUGUGUGUGUGUUUGCGUGGCGUUCGGACGGACGAUGCGGGUUUCGGGCUCUUUUUCGGCUUUUUGGCUAAAGUGUUGUUUAGUUUCGCAAACAGGGCGAUAACUCGAUCUCCGUAUGUCAGAUCGAGUACCGUCAGUUGUAACGCGUGCCUAAUACCUACGCGGUGCUGUGUGUGUGUUUGCGUGGCGUUCGGACGGACGAUGCGGGUUUUGGGCUCUUUUUCGGCUUUUUGCCUAAGUCUUGUUCAGUUUCGCAAACAGGACGAUAACUCGGUGUCCGUAUGUCGGAAUCGAGUACCGUCAGUUGUAACGCGUGCCUAAUACCUACGGGGUUCUGUGUGUGUAUAAUGGUGUUAGGGUUUUAUCUUAUGUUUAUUUAAGCAAUACAAUUACAAAUUACAUAAACUAAAUAAGGAAAUACAGAAUUUAAUUGUUUUUACCUGUCGAAUAUGUGGUGGGAAGAUGUUGGCCAAGACAACUGCACACACGCGGAUGGCCUCUUCCCGUACUACACCCAUGAGAUCGUCAACGGCAGC